Anolis carolinensis (green anole) is the source of this 673-nucleotide RNA transcript. It is a transcript of the gene named selenoprotein W-like, with no coding region annotated. The record is from RefSeq and is a predicted model, not a curated record. The transcript has a single exon. Lineage: Eukaryota; Metazoa; Chordata; Lepidosauria; Squamata; Anolidae.
CGGUGCCAUUGUUUGCAGAAGCUCCUGCAUUACAGGUGAAUGGCCGCCAUGGCUGUCAAGAUCAAGGUGGUUUAUUGCCUGGCCUGAGGAAACUAUAACAAGUAUCUGAAGCUCAAGAAGGACCUUGAAAAGGAGUUUCCAGACAAGCUGGAAAUUACUGGAGAAGGGACUCCUGAGGCCACAGGAUGGUUCGAAGUGACCGUGGCAGAGAAGUUGGUGCACUCCAAAAAGAAUGGAGAUGGCUACGUGGAUAAUGACACCAAACUCGGCAAGAUAACAACGGCCAUCAAAGCAGCUUUAGAAGAAAGCAGUAAAGCUUCAGAAAAAAGCAGUAAAGCUUCAGAAGAAAGCAGUAAAGCUCCAGAAAAAAACAGCAAAGCUUCAGAAAAAAGCAGUAAAGCUUCAGAAAAAAGCAGUAAAACUUCAGAAAAAAGCAGUAAAGCUUUAGAAGAAAGCAGUAGUUCACAGAAAUAGCUCAUUGGGAGAAAAGCUCAAGGAACCCUCUGUUUUGUUCAUUGUGGCCAAGCGCUUGAUGACGGGAGCCGCUGAAAUGUCAUUAGAUGCAAGGCAGUUCCCCGAAACCCCUUUGUGUAGGAAGCCACUUGGAGCAAAUCCGGAUGAAGACCUUGAGUUUAUUUAACACCUGAAUACAGAACUGGGCUUGGCUCAACAA